CAGUGUCUGGUGGGUAGUUUGACUGGGGCGGUCUCCUCCUAAAGAGUAACGGAGGAGCACGAAGGUUGGCUAAUCCUGGUCGGACAUCAGGAGGUUAGUGCAAUGGCAUAAGCCAGCUUGACUGCGAGCGUGACGGCGCGAGCAGGUGCGAAAGCAGGUCAUAGUGAUCCGGUGGUUCUGAAUGGAAGGGCCAUCGCUCAACGGAUAAAAGGUACUCCGGGGAUAACAGGCUGAUACCGCCCAAGAGUUCAUAUCGACGGCGGUGUUUGGCACCUCGAUGUCGGCUCAUCACAUCCUGGGGCUGAAGUAGGUCCCAAGGGUAUGGCUGUUCGCCAUUUAAAGUGGUACGCGAGCUGGGUUUAGAACGUCGUGAGACAGUUCGGUCCCUAUCUGCCGUGGGCGCUGGAGAACUGAGGGGGGCUGCUCCUAGUACGAGAGGACCGGAGUGGACGCAUCACUGGUGUUCGGGUUGUCAUGCCAAUGGCACUGCCCGGUAGCUAAAUGCGGAAGAGAUAAGUGCUGAAAGCAUCUAAGCACGAAACUUGCCCCGAGAUGAGUUCUCCCUGAGACUUAAAGUCUCCUG
Molecule: ribosomal RNA, 583 nt
Filed under: Salmonella enterica
Lineage: Bacteria; Pseudomonadati; Pseudomonadota; Gammaproteobacteria; Enterobacterales; Enterobacteriaceae
Description: partial 23S ribosomal RNA
Rfam family: Bacterial large subunit ribosomal RNA
Source: RNAcentral